GUUUAAAUAGUUUAAAUAGAAUAACAAUUUGUGGAAUUGUAGGAGCCAGUUAGGCUUUGGACC
RNAcentral lists this transfer RNA (63 nucleotides) under Agriosphodrus dohrni. RNAcentral describes it as "tRNA-His". Lineage: Eukaryota; Metazoa; Arthropoda; Insecta; Hemiptera; Reduviidae. The record is from RNAcentral.